AUUGAACGCUGGCGGCAUGCUUUACACAUGCAAGUCGAACGGCAGCGCGGGGGCAGUCCUGGAGGCGAGGGGCGCACGGGUGUGUAAUACCUCGACGCGUGCCCACUCGGGGGGUAUAACGCCGCGAGAGCUGUGCUAAUCCCGCAUGCGAUCUACGGGUGAACGGGGGGGCUCGAGAGACCGUGCGCGAGUGGAGCGGCCGAUGGCAGAUGAGGUAGUUGGUGGGGUAAAGGCUCACCAAGCCGUCGAUCUGUAGCUGGUCUGAGAGGACGACCAGCCACACUGGGACUGAGACACGGCCCAGACUCCUACGGGAGGCAGCAGUGGGGAAUUUUGGACAAUGGGCGAAAGCCUGAUCCAGCCAUGCCGCGUGCAGGAAGAAGGCCUUCGGGUUGUAAACUGCUUUUGUACGGAACGAAACGGUUUUGGCUAAUACCGGAGGCUAAUGACGGUACCGUAAGAAUAAGCACCGGCUAACUACGUG
This 484-nucleotide ribosomal RNA is filed under the name uncultured bacterium. RNAcentral's name for it is "partial 16S ribosomal RNA". It matches the Rfam family "Bacterial small subunit ribosomal RNA", at positions 28 to 507 of the family's 1533-position model. The record is from RNAcentral.